RNAcentral lists this unclassified non-coding RNA (336 nucleotides) under uncultured fungus. RNAcentral describes it as "sequence contains ITS1". The stretch from base 1 to 105 matches the Rfam family "5.8S ribosomal RNA", at positions 50 to 154 of the family's 154-position model. Lineage: Eukaryota; Fungi. The record is from RNAcentral.
AAAAUGCGAUACGCAAUGCGAAUUGCAGAAUUCCGCGAAUCAUCAGAUUCUUGAACGCAACUGGCGCUGGAGGGCUAUCCUUUCAGCAUGUCUGUUUCAGUGUCUUAAAACCUCAUAUAAAAACAUAAUGUGUCUGAGAAGGAGCAUCCUAUUUUAGUUUGGUGUGCUACCAACUCUUACAUAAAAGAUGCUUGUGUGGAUCUUUGGGUCCUUCUGAAUUAGUCACUGCAUGUUCAGUGAAUUCAGCAGGCUACUCCAAUUAUCUGGAUACAUAAGGGAAUCGAUUAAACUUUAUGAUUGCAUCUGAAAUCAGACAAGAACACCCGCUGAACUUAA